This 429-nucleotide ribosomal RNA is filed under the name bacterium. RNAcentral describes it as "partial 16S ribosomal RNA". It matches the Rfam family "Bacterial small subunit ribosomal RNA", at positions 355 to 776 of the family's 1533-position model. The record is from RNAcentral.
UAGGGAAUCUUCCACAAUGGACGCAAGUCUGAUGGAGCAACGCCGCGUGAGUGAAGAAGGUUUUCGGAUCGUAAAGCUCUGUUGUUGGUGAAGAAGGAUAGAGGCAGUAACUGGUCUUUAUUUGACGGUAAUCAACCAGAAAGUCACGGCUAACUACGUGCCAGCAGCCGCGGUAAUACGUAGGUGGCAAGCGUUGUCCGGAUUUAUUGGGCGUAAAGCGAGCGCAGGCGGAAUGAUAAGUCUGAUGUGAAAGCCCACGGCUCAACCGUGGAACUGCAUCGGAAACUGUCAUUCUUGAGUGCAGAAGAGGAGAGUGGAAUUCCAUGUGUAGCGGUGGAAUGCGUAGAUAUAUGGAAGAACACCAGUGGGGAAGGCGGCUCUCUGGUCUGCAACUGACGCUGAGGCUCGAAAGCAUGGGUAGCGAACAGG